GGCACAGUGCCAGAGUGGUUAAUGGGUAUGACUCGAAUUCUCCGAUAUCAUAUGGCUUCGGCCGCGUAGGUUCAAAUCCUGCCUGUGUCG
This is a transfer RNA of Pyrenochaeta sp. DS3sAY3a, 90 nucleotides long. It matches the Rfam family "tRNA". From Rfam's summary of the family: Transfer RNA (tRNA) molecules are approximately 80 nucleotides in length. Their secondary structure includes four short double-helical elements and three loops (D, anti-codon, and T loops). NCBI's taxonomy places the organism in Eukaryota, Fungi, Ascomycota, Dothideomycetes, Pleosporales, Cucurbitariaceae. The record is from Rfam.